This is a small nucleolar RNA of Sinocyclocheilus grahami, 216 nucleotides long. The record is from Ensembl. Lineage: Eukaryota; Metazoa; Chordata; Actinopteri; Cypriniformes; Cyprinidae.
AAGAUUAUACUUUCAGGGAUCAUUUCUAUAGUUUUUGACUUGGAAAGGUGUUUCGAAAGUGUUGAGUCUUUCAAACCACGAUGAUGAGUGUCGUUACUCUUUUCUGAGCGUGAGUCGGGUGUGAAGUUAUGAGUCGUUUCAUGUGCUUUGCUUCAUUGAUGAACGUUCUUCAUUGUUUGUAACAGUGGAGAGGAAAAGAGUAAGAACAGAGUGGUU